Astatotilapia calliptera (eastern happy) is the source of this 1056-nucleotide long non-coding RNA. The record is from Ensembl. Lineage: Eukaryota; Metazoa; Chordata; Actinopteri; Cichliformes; Cichlidae.
CGGUGAUAUCCUCCACGGCACAGCCUAGUCCUGGUAUAAAGGCGCACUGAUCUAUCCAUAUCUCUCAAUUUUUCCAGCUUUCUUUCUUGAAAUCUCUGUAUUGCUAAGAAUAAAUAUGACUACACAGAUGGAUUUAGCUGUGCUGCGGAUCAUGAUGAUUAUUUUUGAGUCUUUUAAUAUUUCACCCUUGUUAUUAAGUUUAUUAGAAAAGAAAACAUUACAGCAAAAUCAAAGAGAAGCAGUGGGAGUUCUUUGUCAAAUGUUUAUUACAGCUCUGCUUUGCUGGCUAAUGAUUAGCUUAGCAGGGGUAGUGGUUCAGUUUUUAGCUAACCUAAGGGCACUCUGAGUGUGGGUUGGUUUGUUUUUUGUUUUUUGACCUUGUAGAGGGUUUUUUUUCAUACAACUUUUCAAGUUUUACGUCAUUAACAGUGAACGGAAAUACAAUUUACAUUUCAUUUGCAAUUUGUCUUUACUAAAGUCUCCAGUGUUUCUAGUAAGAUGGCUGUCAGAAAAGAGCAUUAUCUGUAUGAGAUUAUGAAUGUGAUCUGUGUUCACUAAAGGACAGAGAAAGCAGCUUACCUUAGUCCACAGCUUUAUCAAUCCCACAAUCCAAACGAAUUAGCAGCCACACAGUUGAGCACUGCCGCUGUCGUACAGUGAUAAAUAUCUCCAAUGCGAACACAGAUCACUAUCAGAGUGUUACUGUUCACAAGGUUAUCUCACCUUUAUUAUACUACCUCUGGUGUCAGGUUAAUUUCUCUCCUCACAGGGGUCAGCAUUAACGCCUAUGCCGGCCACUACACAGAGUGUUGCUAAUUGCACAAUAAGUCCAACAGAAAGAGAGAUUUCAUUGUCGCGCACUAAAAGCUAAACAACAAUGAUUCCAACUUACCUCCUUAAAAAGUCAAGGGGAAAAGCAGCAGUUUUCCUUUUGCGGAGAGAAGAAAUGUUAAAUAUUCUCUCUGAGCCGUUUUAAAAGUUCCUUCUGUUCACGAACCUUUUGUCCUGGGUAUGCAAAGAUAAGCACAUACCAUAAUAAACAGGGUAUGAUACUGC